RNAcentral lists this ribosomal RNA (1774 nucleotides) under Starmera stellimalicola. RNAcentral's name for it is "SSU rRNA". It matches the Rfam family "Eukaryotic small subunit ribosomal RNA". Lineage: Eukaryota; Fungi; Ascomycota; Saccharomycetes; Phaffomycetales; Phaffomycetaceae. The record is from RNAcentral.
UCUGGUUGAUCCUGCCAGUAGUCAUAUGCUUGUCUCAAAGAUUAAGCCAUGCAUGUCUAAGUAUAAGCAAUUAUACAGUGAAACUGCGAAUGGCUCAUUAAAUCAGUUAUCGUCUAUUCGGUAGUACCUUAUUUACUUGGAUACCCCUGGUAAAUCUAGAGCUAAUACAUGCGAAAACUCCCGACUGAUUGGAAGGGAUGUAUUUAUUAGAUACAGAACCAAUGCCCUCGGGCCUUUUGGUGAUUCAUAGUAACUUUUCGAACCGCAUGGCCUUGAGCUGGCGGUGGUCCGAUCGAAUUUCUGCCCUAUCAACUGUCGAUGGUUAAGUAGUGGUUAACCAUGGUAGCAACGGGUAACGGGGAGUUAGGGCUCGACUCCGGAGAGGGAGCCUGAGAAACGGCUACCACAUCCAAGGAAGGCAGCAGGCGCGCAAAUUACCCAAUCCUAAUUCAGGGAGGUAGUGACAAUAAAUAACGAUACAGGGCCCUUUGGGUCUUGUAAUUGGAAUGAGUACAAUGUAAACACCUUAACGAGGAACAAUUGGAGGGCAAGUCUGGUGCCAGCAGCCGCGGUAAUUCCAGCUCCAAUAGCGUAUACUAAAUUUGUUGCAGUUAAAAAGCUCGUAGUUGAAGUUCGGGUCUGGCUUUCUGGUCCGCUUUUUUGCGAGUACUGGGUUUGAGCCGGAUCUUUCUGUGUGGGUUGCUCCUUGUGGGCUGUUCACACGUUUUACCUUGAAUAAAUUAGAGUGUUCAAAGCAGGCCUUUGCUCGUAUAGUUCAGCAUGGAAUAAUGGAAUAGGACGUUUUGUUUCUAUUUUGUUGGUUUCUAGAAACAUCGUAAUGAUUAAUAGGGACGGUCGGGGGCAUCAGUAUUCAAUUGUCAGAGGUGAAAUUCUUGGAUUUAUUGAAGACUAACUACUGCGAAAGCAUUUGCCAAGGACGUUUUCAUUAAUCAAGAACGAAAGUUAGGGGAUCGAAGAUGAUCAGAUACCGUCGUAGUCUUAACCAUAAACGAUGUCGAUUAGGAAUCGGGUGGAGUCGUUUUAUUGACGCACUCGGCGCCUUGUGCGAAAGCAAAAUAAGACUCUGGGGGGAGUAUGGUCGCAAGGCUGAAACUUAAAGGAAUUGACGGAAGGGCACCACCAGGAGUGGAGCCUGCGGCUUAAUUUGACUCAACACGGGGAAACUCACCAGGUCCAGACACAAUAAGGAUUGACAGAUUGAGAGCUCUUUCUUGAUUUUGUGGGUGGUGGUGCAUGGCCGUUCUUAGUUGGUGGAGUGAUUUGUCUGCUUAAUUGCGAUAACGAACGAGACCUUAACCUGCUAAAUAGUGCGACUAGCUUUUGGCUGGUGGGACACUUCUUAGAGGGACUAUCGAUUUCAAGUCGAUGGAAGUUUGAGGCAAUAACAGGUCUGUGAUGCCCUUAGACGUUCUGGGCCGCACGCGCGCUACACUGACGGAGCCAGCGAGUAACAUCCUUAACCGAGAGGUUUGGGUAAUCUUGUGAAACUCCGUCGUGCUGGGGCUGGUCGUCUGCAAUUUUUCGACCUCAACGAGGAAUUCCUAGUAAGCGCAAGUCAUCAGCUUGCGUUGAUUACGUCCCUGCCCUUUGUACACACCGCCCGUCACUACUACCGAUUGAAUGGCUUAGUGAGGCCUCGGGACUGGCUUAGCGCGAGAGGCGACUCUUGCACGGAGCUGGGAACCUGGUCAAACUUGGUCAUUUAGAGGAAGUACAAGUCGUAACAAGGUUUCCGUAGGUGAACCUGCGGAAG